UCUGGUUGAUCCUGCCGGACCUGACUGCUAUCGGAUUGAUACUAAGCCAUGCGAGUCAUUGUAGCAAUACAAGGCAUACGGCUCAGUAACGCGUAGUCAACCUAACCUAUGGACGGGAAUAACCUCGGGAAACUGAGAAUAAUGCCCGAUAGAACAUUAUGCCUGGAAUGGUUUAUGUUCCAAAUGAUUUAUCGCCGUAGGAUGGGACUGCGGCCUAUCAGUUUGUUGGUGAGGUAAUGGCCCACCAAGACUAUUACAGGUACGGGCUCUGAGAGGAGUAGCCCGGAGAUGGGUACUGAGACACGGACCCAGGCCCUAUGGGGCGCAGCAGGCGAGAAAACUUUGCAAUGUGCGAAAGCACGACAAGGUUAAUCCGAGUGGUUUCUGCUAAAGAAACCUUUUGUCAGUCCUAGAAACACUGAUGAAUAAGGGGUGGGCAAGUUCUGGUGUCAGCCGCCGCGGUAAAACCAGCACCUCAAGUGGUCAGGAUGAUUAUUGGGCCUAAAGCAUCCGUAGCCGGCUCUGUAAGUUUUCGGUUAAAUCUGUACGCUCAACGUACAGGCUGCCGGGAAUACUGCAGAGCUAGGGAGUGGGAGAAGUAGACGGUACUCGGUAGGAAGUGGUAAAAUGCUUUGAUCUAUCGAUGACCACCUGUGGCGAAGGCGGUCUACUAGAACACGUCCGACGGUGAGGGAUGAAAGCUGGGGGAGCAAACCGGAUUAGAUACCCGGGUAGUCCCAGCUGUAAACUAUGCAAACUCAGUGAUGCAUUGGCUUGUGGCCAAUGCAGUGCUGCAGGGAAGCCGUUAAGUUUGCCGCCUGGGAAGUACGUACGCAAGUAUGAAACUUAAAGGAAUUGGCGGGGGAGCACCACAAGGGGUGAAGCCUGCGGUUCAAUUGGACUCAACGCCGGGA
Molecule: ribosomal RNA, 914 nt
Filed under: uncultured marine crenarchaeote
Lineage: Archaea; Thermoproteati; Thermoproteota
Description: bacterial SSU rRNA
Rfam family: Archaeal small subunit ribosomal RNA
Source: RNAcentral